This 460-nucleotide ribosomal RNA is filed under the name uncultured bacterium. RNAcentral's name for it is "partial 16S ribosomal RNA". It matches the Rfam family "Bacterial small subunit ribosomal RNA", at positions 338 to 795 of the family's 1533-position model. The record is from RNAcentral.
CCUACGGGUGGCAGCAGUGAGGAAUAUUGGUCAAUGGGCGCGAGCCUGAACCAGCCAAGUAGCGUGAAGGAUGACUGCCCUACGGGUUGUAAACUUCUUUUAUAAAGGAAUAAAGUGAGGCACGUGUGCCUUUUUGUAUGUACUUUCUGAAUAAGGAUCGGCUAACUCCGUGCCAGCAGCCGCGGUAAUACGGAGGAUCCGAGCGUUAUCCGGAUUUGUUGGGUUUAAAGGGAGCGUAGAUGGGUUGUUAAGUCAGGUGGGAAAGUUUGCGGCUCAACCGUAAAAUUGCAAUUGAUACUGGCAGUCUGGAGUACAGUUGAGGUAGGCGGAAUUCGUGGUGUAGCGGUGAAAUGCUUAGAUAUCACGAAGAACUCCGAUUGCGAAGGCAGCUUACUAAACUGCGACUGACAUUGAUGCUCGAAAGUGUGGGUAUCAAACAGGAUUAGAUACCCUGGUAGUC